CGGUCGAUUGGGAUUUACCCUGACAAAGGAUUAACCAAAAUUCUCAAAUUGAGCCCUAGAAAAUGGCUGCUAUUCCAGAAGAAAUCAUCAAACAGAACAAAAUGGGUAUUACUAGUAAAGAUCUUCCUCAGGAAAUCAUCACACAAAUUUUAUAUGGCGUCCCAGCCAAAUCCAUUGGAAGGUUUAGGAGCGUUUCAAAAGGUUGGCUAUCUCUUCUCACUCACCCCGAUUUCAUUAAAACCCAUGAUCAGAAUACCCUCAUCCACAAACAUCGCCUUAUAUUCAAUACCACCGACAAUUCCAAUAUCGAAUGUCCUGGACUUUACUCCAACCCAGAUAAUGAACCAAUUUUAAGAAUUUCAGAUUUCGGGUUAGACGGAAAUUUAGGUCGUUAUAAUUGUAUCCCGUAUUUACUUGUAUAUGGCUCUUGUAAUGGCCUUGUUAUGGUGAGUGCUGAUAGUUAUAUACACUUUCUUAUAAAUCCGACUACAAAAGAAUCAAUGAAAUUGCCAAAAAUCUCUGAUUAUUCGUAUAUGAAUGAUUAUAAAUGGUCUUGGGAUGUUAUAAUUUAUAAAUCCGAAUAUAUGCAUGGAUUAGGUUAUGAUUCCGAUACGGGUGAUUUUAAGGUUGUUUCACUCAAUUGCUUAUAUGGUAUAAUGAAACACGGUUGUAUAUUUGUGCAUGUUUAUAGCCUUAGAACGAAUACUUGGAGGCGGUUAACUGAUACUCUUGAUGAUUAUCAUUGUGAAUAUUCAGAGGAUCAAAGUGCUGUUUUUGUUAAUGGGUUUCUUCAUUGGAUUUUUACAAAGAGAGUUAAUCGCUUAGAAUCAAAAGUUGUCUUGGCUUUUAGUUUAGCGGAUGACAAGUUUAGUGAAGUGACAUCGCCCGAGUUUGUUGGAAGUAAUGAAUAUUUGUCUAGUGAUCAUUGCCGCCUUGUUCUCCUUGGCGGAAAACUUGCUUUGUUCCAUAGAUUGGAUGGUGAGAUUUGGUUGAUGAAUGAGUAUAGGAUAAAAGAAUCUUGGACUAAGAUUUCGCUCCAUGGAAUCCAUAAAAUUCCAAUGGUUUCACCAGAUCGUUAUAAUAAGCCUAUAGUUUUUUGUCACGAUGGGAAAUUCAUGGUGGCCAACAGCGAUCGGAUGAUGGUGUAUGAUGAUGAAAAGGGGGCUUUCGAGGAAACUGUGUGUGUUUGGGAUCCUGUAAACUUCAGGGUUAUUGGUAGUUAUGUUGAGAGCCUUGUCUCGAUUGCUUCAUGCAUUGAACAAUGAUCGACUUGGUUUAUAUAUGGUAGCUUGUUCGUUCGUUAACCUUGGCAUGUGUCCUCUUCACGAGAUAAUCUGAUGUAAAAGCCUAAGGUAUUACAUUAUCAGACUUAGAAAAAGGCGGGUGUCCAAAUUGUAAGACGUGGGAGAUGCUCAUGGUGGGAUAUCAAAGAAUCAAAAUAGGAAAAUGCAGUUUUUGCAAUGAAGAACGCAUUUAACUUCUUGAAGUGUUGUGAGUGGAGGCCGUCACCUACAAUUAUUGGAUCUAUUUUUGAGUACUUAGAGAUAAGCGGAAAUUUGGAAGAUGGGAAAGGGUUUUGAAGGUUCUUAGGGAUCUUAAUCUUGUUAGUUUGGGUUUAUAUCGAUCGCUAAUCAGGAUGCAUGUAGCCAAGGGAAAACCAUUUGGUCAAAUUGUUAAAUUGAUGGAGAAAGAUAAGAUAGAUAUGGAUGAUGAAAUUAUCAGCCUCGUUCAAGCUUCACAAACUGGGGCAUUGUCACACAUACUUAAAAGACAACAAGAAAAUCAAGCCGCCACGAGUUUCUGAUUUCAGGUAUCCUCUUUCCCUAUUAUUGUGCAGUUUUCCGACUUUUUGAUUAUACAGUAUACUAGUAUAAUCCCUUUCAUGUCUUUUAUGAUGUGCAAUCUCAUCAAAUGGGCGUGUUAAGUUUAGAUGGAGUGACUCUUUUAAGCUGGAACAUGCACAAAGCAAAUGUUCUAUUGAGUCUGAGUGUCCGGUGGACUUGAAACUGUCACAAGCAUUGCUUGCAGAAGCUGGAAAGUUUAGAUGUUUGUUAUUUUCUUAUCUAAAGAGCACAUGGUGGGAUCGAACAUGCCUGUUAUGAAUAAGUCUCUUCUGUUCAGAAGUUUAUAGUGGUUACCAAUGAGGAAGGAGAUCCUAUCGGGUUUAAACUCUAGUAGAUUUGGAAAUGUUCCAUUUUGGAAUUCAGUGAAAUCAGUCAUUUUUUGAUCAGAAAUUUUUGGUUCUCGAAGUUCUAUAUGAUAUUCCACCACUGCUUAGUUGAUGGUGUACAUGAACUUGAAUUAUUCUUUGUAUACGGCUCUGUCCUCUGUGUUUUGUUUGCCUUUGGAAAGAGUGGGAGAGAUCCAGACUUCAGCACACCGUGUCACAGUCUUGAGCUUAGAAGAGCCGAGUUUGGCUUAAGCUUGCUAUGUUCUUUAGCUUACUGUGUUCUCAUAUUAGUUAGUUCAAAACACACCUUAAGCAUCUGCUUUUGGCUUCUAUAAGCUAGUUGUUGCGUUUAUUGAUGCCAUAUCGAUGUUUUUGUUAGUUCGGAGUCCUUGAACCCCAUGACCAUUGAACCCAUUUCAAUGUAUGAUUACCUGGCAAAUCAAGUCGGCACUGAUUCAACUGUAAUAAGGUGAUUAUAUUCAAGGGAAACUCUUCUAAAGUGAAAAUUGGUUCUGUGUUUCAA
Molecule: RNA transcript, 2693 nt
Organism: Erigeron canadensis
Lineage: Eukaryota; Viridiplantae; Streptophyta; Magnoliopsida; Asterales; Asteraceae
Gene name: F-box/kelch-repeat protein At3g06240-like
Exons: 2
Source: RefSeq, a predicted model, not a curated record